Molecule: long non-coding RNA, 446 nt
Organism: Equus caballus (horse)
Lineage: Eukaryota; Metazoa; Chordata; Mammalia; Perissodactyla; Equidae
Source: RefSeq, a predicted model, not a curated record
GAGGGUCCCGUGUCGCGCCGAUUGCUGCACCUGCCGGCGCAGCGCUACGUGAGCGAGGUUACCACCGAGACGCAGAGUCCUCCGGGGGUCCUAGACGUGCCUCAGGCCGGGUUUUGGACUGUUGGUCCAGCAUAGGAGUGAGCUGUCGUUUCCAGGAAGUCGAGGUCCGGGCAUCAAGAUUCAGCCUCACAAGGCCAAACGCAGGCUGCACGUGAAAACUAACCAGAAAAGUCCAGACAGUCAAGGGAAAAGAAAUUCAGUCUUCAAGGCCAAACGCGAGCUGGUGGGAAGGCGCCAACCAGCAAGGCCACAUGCUCCCCGUCGCCUACCUGAAACCCCAGAUAAAAACCCCCACUUUUUCCCUUCUGGGAGGUGGAAGUGAGUUCUAAGUCCCCUCUCCUGUCUGGCUGCCUUUUGACAAUAGUAAACCUCUUUCCUUUUUGUAA